Molecule: long non-coding RNA, 705 nt
Organism: Trifolium pratense (red clover)
Lineage: Eukaryota; Viridiplantae; Streptophyta; Magnoliopsida; Fabales; Fabaceae
Exons: 3
Source: RefSeq, a predicted model, not a curated record
ACCGAAUUUCGAACAGUAGUUUACUCAACAGUAUAAAUUUAUAUCGUAGAAAAAGAAAAUAAAAAUAUCUUUUAGACCAGAAAAAUAUCUAUGUUAUUAAAAUUAAUGAAAAAUAAAAUGAAAGAUUAGAGAUAAGCAUGCAUUUAAUUUUAAGAUAAGAACUACACCUAUGCAUUACAAGGUGGCUAAUUUUUCUUCACAAAUUGAAAGUGAAAACGUGGACUGAGAAUUUACCAUGUAGCAGUAGAAUUAGAAAUCUAUAAAUAGGGUCUUAACAUUCACUUUUUACACACAAUUAUCACUCUCACAACUCACAAAAAGCUAGGAAUUUCAAUUAAGGUAUCCUAGAUGAAGGUGAUUGCUCGAGUUAUUUUGGAAAGCUUUAAGUUAGUGCAGGAUUCUAAGGCCUCAAGUUGAAGUUCAUUGAGAAAAGGAAAACGUGAUUGUGAGAGACAUUAAUUAUAAUACAAGGACCGUUAGUGUUGAUUAGUGAUCUAGUUUAUUUUUGGAGUCCGAAGAGAAAGAUCUCUUUGAUAUGUAUUGAUGACGUUAUUGGAGUACUCCCUAGGUGACAUGUAUCUUAGUGUUUGACCAGCUUGUGAUCAUUUGUGGGUUAGAGUCUUUUGUAGGAAUUUAUCUUUUAUUAUUUCAUAUUGAAAAAUUGUAAGAUAAUUAUGUGAAAUGAAAAUGUUUUAUAUUUGAAAA